GAUUACUGUGCUCGACCGUCGAUGAAAUGCGCGGGCAGCAACGAGAAGUGAUGCAAAUUGCAGGACUAAGUGAACCUCGACACCUCGAACGCCCAUUGUAUCUUCGAGAUCC
Molecule: non-coding RNA, 112 nt
Organism: Acanthosepion pharaonis
Lineage: Eukaryota; Metazoa; Mollusca; Cephalopoda; Sepiida; Sepiidae
Source: the annotation of a GenBank genome assembly